Transfer RNA from Basidiobolus meristosporus CBS 931.73, 74 nucleotides. It matches the Rfam family "tRNA". Rfam says of the family: Transfer RNA (tRNA) molecules are approximately 80 nucleotides in length. Their secondary structure includes four short double-helical elements and three loops (D, anti-codon, and T loops). Further hydrogen bonds mediate the characteristic L-shaped molecular structure. tRNAs have two regions of fundamental functional importance: the anti-codon, which is responsible for specific mRNA codon recognition, and the 3' end, to which the tRNAs corresponding amino acid is attached (by aminoacyl-tRNA synthetases). tRNAs cope with the degeneracy of the genetic code in two manners: having more than one tRNA (with a specific anti-codon) for a particular amino acid; and 'wobble' base-pairing, i.e. permitting non-standard base-pairing at the 3rd anti-codon position. The record is from Rfam. NCBI's taxonomy places the organism in Eukaryota, Fungi, Basidiobolomycota, Basidiobolomycetes, Basidiobolales, Basidiobolaceae.
GCCCCCGUGGCCUAAUUGGAUAAGGCAUCAGACUUCUAAUCUGAGGAUUGUGGGUUCGAGUCCCACCGGGGGUG